This 501-nucleotide long non-coding RNA is filed under the name Pan troglodytes (chimpanzee). Its description in RNAcentral is "lincRNA". Lineage: Eukaryota; Metazoa; Chordata; Mammalia; Primates; Hominidae. The record is from RNAcentral.
GAGACAAUGGUUACUUCUUUUCAUGGAUUCUAAAUUCUAUCUGCCAGUCACUUUUUGUGUGUGCAUUCAUUGAGGGUGUACAGAAUGGAAUUACAGAGGCAGAAAAAAAUGAGGUCUCUGCCAAAUUGAUAGUUUAAAAAACAUUUUAGUGGCCUACUUAACUGUAAUUUGUUUUAGUUUUAAACAAGAAAAACCUCAGCAUGUAAGCAAAGCAGACUGGACUUGAACAGAUAUGGAAUGCAAAGCACACAGGAGAGUCAUGGGGAUCCUGAACGGGGAUUAGAAGUUGGACAACUUUUUAUGCAAUGAACAACACUGCAUUGGAGACAGUGGAUUAAAUUAAACAGUAGUGCAUAUCACUUGGCUGAAGUGACAGGAAUAAAGAACAGAAUGCAUCCACUCCUCCAGUCUCAUUAAGCUGCCUCUUUCUCCUGAAAUUGGAUUGGGAUUCCAGGACACCUCUCAACCUACAGGAAACACUGGAUCUAAAGCUGAAACAGG